CCUACGGGGGGCAGCAGUGAGGAAUAUUGGUCAAUGGCCGAAAGUCUGAACCAGCCAAGUAGCGUGCAGGAUGACGGCCCUACGGGUUGUAAACUGCUUUUGUCCGGGAGUAAAGCGCGUUACGUGUAGCGCUUUGAGAGUACCGUACGAAUAAGGAUCGGCUAACUCCGUGCCAGCAGCCGCGGUAAUACGGAGGAUUCGAGCGUUAUCCGGAUUUAUUGGGUUUAAAGGGUUCGUAGGCGGGACGAUAAGUUAGCGGUGAAAUCCCGAGGCUCAACCUGGGCAUUGCCGGUGAUACGGGGGGGCUAGAGAGCGCGUGAAGUAGGCGGAAUGCGUGGUGUAGCGGUGAAAUGCUUAGAUAUGACGCAGAACACCGAUUGCGAAGGCAGCUUACCGAGGCACAACUGACGCUGAUGCACGAAAGCGUGGGUAGCGAACAGGAUUAGAUACCCGAGUAGUC
This 460-nucleotide ribosomal RNA is filed under the name uncultured bacterium. RNAcentral's name for it is "partial 16S ribosomal RNA". It matches the Rfam family "Bacterial small subunit ribosomal RNA", at positions 338 to 795 of the family's 1533-position model. The record is from RNAcentral.